This 228-nucleotide ribosomal RNA is filed under the name uncultured Planctomycetota bacterium. RNAcentral's name for it is "uncultured planctomycete partial 16S ribosomal RNA". It matches the Rfam family "Bacterial small subunit ribosomal RNA", at positions 567 to 792 of the family's 1533-position model. Lineage: Bacteria; Pseudomonadati; Planctomycetota. The record is from RNAcentral.
AGCACGUAGGUGGGUUUGUAAGUCAGAUGUGAAAGCCUUCUGUUCAAAGGAAGAACGGCAUCUGAAACUGCAGAUCUUGAGUGUAGGAGGGGAGAGUGGAACUUCUGGUUGAGCGGUGAAAUGCGUAGAUAUCAGAAGGAACGUCGGCGGCGAAAGCGACUCUCUGGCCUAUUACUGACACUGAGUGUGCGAAAGUUGGGGGAGCAAACGGGAUUAGAUACCCCGGUA